GCGAGCGUGGCGAAACUGGUAGACGCACGAGACUUAAAAUCUCGCGACUUCGGUCAUGCGGGUUCGACCCCCGCCGCUCGCA
Molecule: transfer RNA, 82 nt
Filed under: Brevundimonas sp. Root1423
Lineage: Bacteria; Pseudomonadati; Pseudomonadota; Alphaproteobacteria; Caulobacterales; Caulobacteraceae
Rfam family: tRNA
About the family: Transfer RNA (tRNA) molecules are approximately 80 nucleotides in length.
Source: Rfam by way of RNAcentral